This 2408-nucleotide unclassified non-coding RNA is filed under the name Leishmania donovani. RNAcentral describes it as "gene:LdHU3.08.0950(CDS-product:Amastin_surface_gl ycoprotein_putative)". The record is from RNAcentral. Lineage: Eukaryota; Euglenozoa; Kinetoplastea; Trypanosomatida; Trypanosomatidae.
GCUCUCCCUCGCUGUCUUCGGCUUGCACCCCCGCGUUCCCCUCGCCAGCGUCACUGCGCGAUCUCGACUCCCCUGCCGUGUGUCCCCGUGUGUGCCUCCGCUGUGCCUCUCUCAGCGUUCCGCCGUGGGCCUUCGAAGAUGGCGUACCCGGUCGGUAUUAUUCUCUACGCGAUCCUCCAGUUCAUCGCGUUCCUCUUCGUGCUGGUCGGUACGCCGAUCGACAUGUUCCGUGGCACCACCAAGGACCUGUUCAACAUAUCACUGUGCAUAACCCUGUGGGGUUCAAAGUUCGAGUGCAAGACCAUCAUGUACGCCAUGCCCACCGACGACCAGUGGAAGUUUUGCCCGACCCGCCUCCAGCAUUUCCACAUAGCCGAGAUUUUGUCCAUCAUCUCCGUCUUCGUGUACGCCCUUGCGGCGCUGCUCGGCUUCAUUAUGCUGUGCUGCUGCUCUUUGCUCCGCUGGCUCUGCCUGGUGUUCAACAUCGCUGGCAUCAUCACGUUGGGCAUCACCUGGGGGUUCAUGGUGGUGGAAUACGGUAGGAAUGAGAGCAGGUUUUGCCCCCCUCUGCGGAAGGACUACAAGUUUGGGGUCGGCUUUGCUCUUUUCAUGGUGGCCUGGGUCCUGAAUCUCAUCGACAUUAUCUUCCUGAUGCUCCCGUGGCAAAUCGGAGAGUCCGGUAAGGGUGACGAACCGGAUGGGCAGGAGGAGGAGGAGGAGGAGGUGGGGUCUAAAAAAGCAACGGAGGAGUAGGAGGGAGAGUGCCGCAGGAAGUGACGGGCAAACGUGGCGGCAGCGCGGCAGCUCCACGGCGACGUCCUCGUGGAGGAGCCGGCGGAGCUGAUGCCGGCGGGAAAGACGGAGGGAGCGGAGGCUGCGGACGCUCGCCCCUGACUUUCGCCGGCAUCUCUCCCGCUCUCGCUCGCUGCCCUCUCGUGCGCGCGACCGCUUGCGGGCGUGUUCGCGGUUUCUCCCUCGCCUGCUUUCGUCUUCUCCUGCGUGUGUCCUUUGUGGAGCUUUCCGCCUCCCCCUUCGCUUCUGCCUUUUCGAUCUGCACAGCGAUCUGCGCGUUGUGGUGGGCAGCGCACCCUUGACGGCGACACGCCCAUCGAGGGCCCCCUCACGCACACCGCAUGGACUCCUCAAACGGAGAGGUGGAGGGAGGGGGUGUGCGAGGUGCCACAGGUGUGGUGGUGGCAGGGGCAGGAGCCAAGGAGGCUCACGUGUAGGCGCAGCGGGAAGACAGGAGGGCGGCGUCCGUGCGCCCAGCGGCGACACACAGGUGCAUACGCAACGCUAAAGCGAGGCGAUUGCAGCUCUGGCUCCUGAUCUUUCCUUGCGCCCCAUGCACGGCCUACGUGUGUGCGCGCACACCCGCGCGCGCGCAGGUGCGUAGGAGGGGGCACCCCCUUCUUCAGCGAAUGCCCCUUCGGCGUCGCCCCUCCCUUGCUGCGGCGACUCCCCGCGCCCCUCGCGCCCACACGGAGAAGGCGGCACCACGACAGGGAAGCCGUCGGGCGCACUCUCGGUCCUCCGCGGGCCAACGACGCGGUCGGGGUGCGUGCGUGUGCCUCAAUAUAUGCGAAGUCUUUGUUAUCUCUUUGCCUUCCGUGUGUCGUUUCUUUUUUUUCGCUUCGCUUGUUUGUUUGGUGGCCUCAUCACACCGCCGAGUCCUCCAGACGCGGGUGUAGAGAGUGUCCACACCGUAUUACGGCAUGCCGCGGCUUGAAGCGAGUGAGCGAGAGGCGUGGCAUAUGCAGGCAGAGCACAGGGUCUCAAAGGGCCCUGGCCUGCGGCUGGCCAACGCGACCUCCUUGACGUCGUCCGGCAUGCACCUUGGCCACCGCCUGUUGCCCACACGACUGACGUCGCCGCUUCCGCCCUCGAGCAGGAGCCUGGACGCGGCCCGCCUGGACCGAGGCAUGCCGUCCGCCCGGGUCUCCGUCUGGCGCCGCAAGCGCCGCACGUACCCGAGGAAGGGACGAGCAAGGGCAAGAUGAGCCGGUCAGACGCAGGGCCCCCGGUUGAACGGCAGGCAGUGCGCCCUUGGCGGCCAGGAUGUUGCCGUGGUGCAACAGAGGCGUGCGAGCUGUGGUUGAAUGCGUAUAUUUGUCGACGUGUUCGUGGUGGAGCGAGGCGUAGAGGGGUGCCUCGCUGCCACGGGCGGACACGCAAAACGUCAAUAGCACAUAACAGCAAAACAGAAAAGGGGGAAUGCACGCGCGCGCGCACGCACGCGGACGACAAUGCAGACGUCCUCGAUUUUGCUUGCUCCUCCGACGGCUCCGCAUGCCGGCUCCGCCUGGGACGCCACGGCGUGUGUGCGUGUGUGCGUGCGCCCUUCCCCUUUUCCUUUCUUCCCUCGCCUUGUCUUUUGUUCUGUACGGUGCCUUCCUCGAGCGUUUCUG